CCUACGGGAGGCAGCAGUGGGGAAUAUUGGGCAAUGGAGGCAACUCUGACCCAGCAACGCCGCGUGAAUGAUGAAGGUCUUCGGAUUGUAAAGUUCUUUUCUAAGGGAAGAAGAAAGUGACGGUACCUUAGGAAUAAGCCUCGGCUAACUACGUGCCAGCAGCCGCGGUAAUACGUAGGAGGCAAGCGUUAUCCGGAAUGACUGGGCGUAAAGGGUGCGUAGGUGGUUUGACAAGUUAGUAGCGCAACUCCGGAGCUCAACUUCGGAACUACUACUAAAACUGUUGGACUUGAGUGCAGGAGGGGCAAUCGGAAUUCCUAGUGUAGCGGUGGAAUGCGUAGAUAUUAGGAGGAACACCAGUGGCGAAGGCGGAUUGCUGGACUGUAACUGACACUGAGGCACGAAAGCGUGGGGAGCAAACAGGAUUAGAUACCCGUGUAGUC
RNAcentral lists this ribosomal RNA (443 nucleotides) under uncultured bacterium. RNAcentral's name for it is "partial 16S ribosomal RNA". It matches the Rfam family "Bacterial small subunit ribosomal RNA", at positions 338 to 795 of the family's 1533-position model. The record is from RNAcentral.